GGUUUUAUGGCCCUCACCUGCUUUCUGUUGGCAUGCGUUGCCUCAUUUUCGUUUGUUUGGUGUGGCGUGGUGUCCGGUUUCCCCGUGGCUUCUUUUUCCUUGUUGGAUGUUUGCUUGUCUUAAGGUGACGGGCAGCCUUAUAGAUGAUCCGUAAUAUAGCACCCCUCGGUGACGGAACGAGUUUUCACGGUGCACAAUGAAGUGGAAAUAAAGAGUUGAAGCACCUGUCGAGACUCCCGUUUAUUGACCCAGGGGCAGCUACAGUGAAAACUCGACCAUCGGAAGAGUAAGGCUUCAGCUAAGAAAAUCAACGUUAUUGCACAAGUAUUUGAUAACGGCGGUCCGGCCCAGUGUACGCCCCUUUCGCGCACCGGCGAGCUCAGCCAAUGGACGGUAUUUGUUACGCUUCUAGUUCAAGCGAACUGGGUAGCGAUACAUAAGAGACUGGUGAUAAAGCCUAUGAUUAAGUGCUUAAUGUUUAGGGUUUGAAUGUGUUUUAUAAUGUAUUCCUUUUCUCCUUUUUGGGGUUGAAGGGUAAAGUUAUAUUGAUUAAAAUAUUUGUAGUUUA
This is a long non-coding RNA of Archocentrus centrarchus (flier cichlid), 568 nucleotides long. RefSeq lists it as uncharacterized. The record is from RefSeq and is a predicted model, not a curated record. The transcript is spliced from 3 exons. NCBI's taxonomy places the organism in Eukaryota, Metazoa, Chordata, Actinopteri, Cichliformes, Cichlidae.